RNAcentral lists this ribosomal RNA (471 nucleotides) under uncultured bacterium. Its description in RNAcentral is "partial 16S ribosomal RNA". It matches the Rfam family "Bacterial small subunit ribosomal RNA", at positions 28 to 507 of the family's 1533-position model. The record is from RNAcentral.
GACGAACGCUGGCGGCGUGCUUAACACAUGCAAGUCGAACGGAAAGGCCCUGCUUGCAGGGUGCUCGAGUGGCGAACGGGUGAGUAACACGUGGGUGAUCUGCCCCUUACUUUGGGAUAAGCCUGGGAAACUGGGUCUAAUACUGGAUAGGACCAUGCUGUAGGUGGUGUGGUGGAAAGAUUUUUUCGGUAAGGGAUGAGCUCGCGGCCUAUCAGCUUGUUGGUGGGGUAAUGGCCUACCAAGGCGUCGACGGGUAGCCGGCCUGAGAGGGUGGACGGCCACAUUGGGACUGAGAUACGGCCCAGACUCCUACGGGAGGCAGCAGGGGGGAAUAUUGCACAAUGGGCGCAAGCCUGAUGCAGCGACGCCGCGUGGGGGAUGACGGCCUUCGGGUUGUAAACGCCUUUCAGCCAUGACGAAGCCUCUUUUGGGGUGACGGUAGUGUUAGAAGAAGCACCGGCUAACUACGUG